GAAUAUUGGACAAUGGGCGCAAGCCUGAUCCAGCCACGCCGCGUGAGUGAUGAAGGCCUUCGGGUUGUAAAGCUCUGUGGGGAGGGACGAAAAAGGUGAGGACUAAUACGCCUCGCCCUUGACGGUACCUCCUUAGCAAGCACCGGCUAACUCUGUGCCAGCAGCCGCGGUAAUACAGAGGGUGCGAACGUUGCUCGGAAUCACUGGGCGUAAAGCGCGUGUAGGCGGACGAUCAAGUCGGGCGUGAAAGCCCCGGGCUCAACCCGGGAACUGCGUCCGAAACUGGUCGUCUCGAGUGUCGGAGAGGGAAGCGGAAUUCCUGGUGUAGAGGUGAAAUUCGUAGAUAUCAGGAGGAACACCGGUGGCGAAGGCGGCUUCCUGGACGACUACUGACGCUGAGACGCGAAAGCGUGGGGAGCAAACAG
RNAcentral lists this ribosomal RNA (425 nucleotides) under uncultured bacterium. RNAcentral describes it as "bacterial SSU rRNA". It matches the Rfam family "Bacterial small subunit ribosomal RNA", at positions 359 to 775 of the family's 1533-position model. The record is from RNAcentral.